Molecule: ribosomal RNA, 253 nt
Filed under: uncultured bacterium
Lineage: Bacteria
Description: partial 16S ribosomal RNA
Rfam family: Bacterial small subunit ribosomal RNA
Source: RNAcentral
UACGUAGGGUGCAAGCGUUGUCCGGAAUUAUUGGGCGUAAAGAGCUCGUAGGUGGCCUGUCGCGUCGGCUGUGAAAACUCGGGGCUCAACUCCGAGCUUGCAGUCGAUACGGGCAGGCUAGAGUUCGGCAGGGGAGACUGGAAUUCCUGGUGUAGCGGUGAAAUGCGCAGAUAUCAGGAGGAACACCAAUAGCGAAGGCAGCUCGCUGGGACGUUACUGACACUGAGGCGCGAAAGCGUGGGGAGCGAACAGG